GAUCUCAUUUUAUUUAUUUGAAUGGUGGAUGCUGCAAGUGGUGGAAGCUUAUUAGCUAUUACUACCACUGUUCAAAAAUGGAGUUAUACAGAAUUAAAAUUUUUAAAUUGAAACUGUAUUUCCCACCAAAUGCUAAUGACUAACGAUUCAUUUAGAAUAUCAAAUGAUUAAAAAAAUGCCACGUGGUUAGGUAAAGCUCGAACAUCGAAAUACUUUGGAUUGCUUCUUAGGUGGUAAUUUCACUAUGGAAAAAAUUAUUAGGAAAAUCUAUAAAAAAAACAUCAAUGAAGCAUUUAAUAAUCUCCUACAACUUUAAUUGAUUAAAAAAUAGCUCUAAAGAUUUCCUUUAUAAAAAAUAUGAGGUAUGAAAAAAUACGUUUACAACUGUAAUCACUUAUGUUCAUCAGUUCUAACUACUACGCUUCGUGUUUCAUUGCUUAAUUUUGAUUUGUCAAAAAGUCAAAGAAGCAAACAAAAUGUUAAAAUCCAACUUUAAAGCUUAUUUAAAAGUGGAAGUCAGUUUGUUAAAGAUUUGGGAUAUUAGAGACGUUCUUUUAUCUUGAUAGAUAUCAGAUAACAAUGUGCAUACAGGGGACAAAAUUGUUUGUUCAAACAAGAAGUUGACUAUUUAAGAGCUUCCUGAAGAACUUGUAUUAUGACUAUAAAAACCUCAUGUUUCAAUUCGAAUGCAAUUGAAAUUUAAUUUUAAACUAUAUCCGGAAUCAAUGAGUCUAUAGCAUUGACUUUUGACAAUAGAGUUGUCACAAAAAAGAAAUAGAAACCUGCCCUUGAAAACUGAUCAUUUUCUUCAAUUGUGAGUACUUUUUGUAUAAAUUUAACAAAGGCUACUGGAAUAAUUGGAAAAUGGUGUAAAUGGACAAAUGACAGUGUUCUGUUUCCUCAACUUUAGUUUCUCGAGUUUUUGCACCUUUUUUACCAUACCUUGUAAAUUUUUUUAAUUAUGGAAGUUUGAGGAUUAUUGCUGCUGGAAUCUUUUGGGCAUUUGAUACAAAAUUUGAGAUAUGACAUUUUGGAUUCUUAUUUAGAAGAAGAGCGAGAAAAUUUUUAAUAAAUUGUGAGCUGAUAUAUCAUCAAAAAAUCAACAAUCCCUGAUGAUUUUGCAGUGCUAGAUAGCGAAUUUUGAUUAAAUAAAUAUUCUUAAUUA
This is a long non-coding RNA of Diorhabda carinulata, 1165 nucleotides long. RefSeq lists it as uncharacterized. The transcript is spliced from 5 exons. Lineage: Eukaryota; Metazoa; Arthropoda; Insecta; Coleoptera; Chrysomelidae. The record is from RefSeq and is a predicted model, not a curated record.